RNAcentral lists this ribosomal RNA (469 nucleotides) under uncultured bacterium. RNAcentral's name for it is "bacterial SSU rRNA". It matches the Rfam family "Bacterial small subunit ribosomal RNA", at positions 54 to 507 of the family's 1533-position model. The record is from RNAcentral.
CAUGCAAGUGAACGAGAAGAGAUGAGAAGCUUGCUUCUUAUCAAUUCGAGUGGCAAACGGGUGAGUAAUGCGUGAGCAACCUGCCUUUCAGAGGGGGACAACAGUUGGAAACGACUGCUAAUACCGCAUGACAUAUUUAAGCGGCAUCGCUUGGAUAUCAAAGAUUUAUCGCUGAAAGAUGGGCUCACGUCUGAUUAGUUAGUUGGUGAGGUAACGGCCCACCAAGCCGACGAUCAGUAGCCGGUCUGAGAGGAUGAACGGCCACACUGGAACUGAGACACGGUCCAGACUCCUACGGGAGGCAGCAGUGGGGAAUCUUCCGCAAUGGGCGAAAGCCUGACGGAGCAACGCCGCGUGAGUGAUGACGGCCUUCGGGUUGUAAAGCUCUGUGAUCGGGGACGAACGGUCAGCAGACGAAUACUCUGCUGAAGUGACGGUACCCGAAUAGCAAGCCACGGCUAACUACGUG